CCAGGUAGAGAAUACCAAGGCGAUUGAGAUAACUCUGGUUAAGGAACUCGGCAAAAUCCCUCCGUAACUUCGGGAGAAGGAGGACCUCGUUAGGGUGAAGGCACUUGCUGCCGGAGCUCGAAGAGGUGGCACAAAAUUGUGGGAAGCGACUGUUUACUAAAAACACAGCAGCGUGCGAAGCCGUAAGGCGCUGUAUACGCUGUGACGCCUGCCCGGUGCUGGAAGGUUACGGGGAAGGGUUAGCCCUCGGGCGAAGCUCUGAACCUAAGCCCCAGUAAACGGCGGCCGUAACUAUAACGGUCCUAAGGUAGCGAAAUUCCUUGUCGGGUAAGUUCCGACCUGCACGAAUGGCGUAACGACUUCCCAACUGUCUCAACCAGAGACUCAGCGAAAUUGAAGUACGAGUAAAGAUGCUCGUUAGCUGCAGAAGGACGGAAAGACCCCGUGGACCUUUACUAUAACUUGAUGUUGGGGUUUGUCAUGCGUUGUGUAGGAUAGGUGGGAGACUAGGAAGCAUUGGCGCCAGCUAGUGUGGAGUCAUCCUUGAAAUACCACCCUGCGUAUGGCGAGCCUCUAACCCAGACCCGUUAUCCGGGUCGGGAACAGCGUCAGGCGGGUAGUUUGACUGGGGCGGUCGCCUCCUAAAAUGUAACGGAGGCGCCCAAAGGUUCCCUCAGCCUGGUUGGCAAUCAGGCGUCGAGUGCAAUGGCAAAAGGGAGCUUGACUGCGAGACUGACAGGUCGAGCAGGAGCGAAAGCUGGGCAUAGUGAUCCGGCGGUUGCGUGUGGAAGCGCCGUCGCUCAACGGAUAAAAGGUACCCCGGGGAUAACAGGCUAAUCUUCCCCAAGAGUCCAUAUCGACGGGAAGGUUUGGCACCUCGAUGUCGGCUCAUCGCAUCCUGGGGCUGAAGCAGGUCCCAAGGGUUGGGCUGUUCGCCCAUUAAAGCGGUACGCGAGCUGGGUUUAGAACGUCGUGAGACAGUUCGGUCCCUAUCCUCUGUAGCCGUAGGUAGAUUGAGGAAAGCUAUCCCUAGUACGAGAGGACCGGGAUGGACGUAGCUCUCGUGUGCCAGUUGUCCUGCCAAGGGCAUGGCUGGUUAGCGACCUACGGACGAGAUAACCGCUGAAAGCAUCUAAGCGGGAAGCUUCUUCCAAGAUGAAUCUACCCACAGGGUUAACCUGGUAAGGCCCGUGGCAUACCACCACGUUGAUAGGCCGGAAGUGUAAGCGCAGUAAUGCGUUCAGCUGACCGGUACUAAUCGGCCGAGGGCUUG
Molecule: ribosomal RNA, 1273 nt
Filed under: metagenome
Description: bacterial LSU rRNA
Rfam family: Bacterial large subunit ribosomal RNA
Source: RNAcentral